Molecule: ribosomal RNA, 491 nt
Filed under: uncultured bacterium
Lineage: Bacteria
Description: partial 16S ribosomal RNA
Rfam family: Bacterial small subunit ribosomal RNA
Source: RNAcentral
AGUGAACGCUGGCGGUAGGCCUAACACAUGCCAGUCGAACGGCAGCACAGUAAGAGCUUGCUCUUACGGGUGGCGAGUGGCGGACGGGUGAGGAAUACAUCGGAAUCUACUUUUUCGUGGGGGAUAACGUAGGGAAACUUACGCUAAUACCGCAUACGACCUACGGGUGAAAGCAGGGGAUCUUCGGACCUUGCGCGAUUGAAUGAGCCGAUGUCGGAUUAGCUAGUUGGCGGGGUAAAGGCCCACCAAGGCGACGAUCCGUAGCUGGUCUGCGAGGAUGAUCAGCCACACUGGAACUGAGACACGGUCCAGACUCCUAGGGGAGGCAGCAGUGGGGAAUAUUGGACAAUGGGCGCAAGCCUGAUCCAGCCAUACCGCGUGGGUGAAGAAGGCCUUCGGGUUGUAAAGCCCUUUUGUUGGGAAAGAAAAGCAGCAGGUUAAUACCCCGCUGUUCUGACGGUACCCAAAGAAUAAGCACCGGCUAACUUCGU